This 230-nucleotide long non-coding RNA is filed under the name Lathyrus oleraceus (garden pea). Its description in RNAcentral is "Pisum sativum (pea) long non-coding RNA (PSAT_LNC004976)". Lineage: Eukaryota; Viridiplantae; Streptophyta; Magnoliopsida; Fabales; Fabaceae. The record is from RNAcentral.
GAAGAUGGUGAAGGAUGGAGAUGAGUUGGUGAGGAUGAUGAUGAUCCUUCCAUGAGUUUUUCUUCUUUCUCCAAUCUUUCCUCUUUUUUUCUCCUUUAUUUUUAUUUUCUUCUUUUCUUUCUUUCUCUUUUCUUUUCGUCAUUUCUUUUUCCUUCCUUCUAAUAACUAAAAUAUAUUUAUUGGUAAGAGAAAGUGAAGAGAAAUAUCUUAAAAUCUUAAAAGAGAUGUUU